UACGUAGGGGGCAAGCGUUGUCCGGAUUUAUUGGGCGUAAAGAGCGUGUAGGCGGCCAGACAGGUCAGCUGUGAAACUCGAGGCUCAACCUCGAGACGUCGGUUGAAACCGUCUGGCUAGAGUCCGGAAGAGGAGAUUGGAAUUUACGGUGUAGCAGUGAAAUGCGUAGAUAUCGUAAGGAAGACCGGUGGCGAAGGCGGAUCUCUGGACAGUUACUGACACUGAGGCACGAAGGCCAGGGGAGCAAACGGG
RNAcentral lists this ribosomal RNA (252 nucleotides) under uncultured bacterium. Its description in RNAcentral is "partial 16S ribosomal RNA". It matches the Rfam family "Bacterial small subunit ribosomal RNA", at positions 524 to 776 of the family's 1533-position model. The record is from RNAcentral.